RNAcentral lists this long non-coding RNA (4977 nucleotides) under Marmota monax (woodchuck). The record is from RNAcentral. Lineage: Eukaryota; Metazoa; Chordata; Mammalia; Rodentia; Sciuridae.
CUGGCUCCUGGACAGCCUCCCUGCAGCUGGGGGCCUCAUUCCCAGGAGCGUUCCCAGCCCAGCAAUGUCAGGUGGGACUCAGGGGUGACCUUGCUCUGCUUCCUGGCUGGGAGGGUGGGAACUGCAGCCAAGAGUGCAGGUGCCUGGCCCUCCCCACGCUGCCCCAGGCCACUGCCAGGUGUGGGCGAUGAGUCAGAGCCAGGCUGGGAGGACAAGGCAGCCCUGGGGGCCUGAAGCUGUCACAGCCUCGCUCCCUCAGCCUUUUCCAGGAGUACUUGAUGGGGGGAGGGCUGGACCUGUGCCAAAGUCCCCCCCAGCAGUGUCACCAAGAGGACAUGAGGCAGAGCACCCUGCGGACCCCAAAUCUACCUCUUUGCUGGCUGGAGGGGGGACAGACAUGAUGUUCUGUUCAUUUCCACUCCUAGCACAUCUAGGACAGGGCUGGGCACACAGUGGGGGUGCAACAAAUGUGCACGGAUGGAAUAUACCGAAAUUUGUACAGAACCUUCUAAGAGACAGGGUUUGUUCGGGUGGACAGAGCACAGGCUCUGGAGACCAACAGACAGGGGUCUGGGGACACUAGGCAGGGAAUUUGCCUAUCUGAGCCUCAGUCUGCUCAUCAGGGAAAUGGGGCCAACAAUGAAUACCUUGUUAAGGACCAUCGUGAACGAGGCAACCUCAGCAAACUGUUUACAGGGCUUUUGACUCUAUCCACAAAAACACACAGAUCACAUUUCAUUACAAAUACUCAUGACCAUAUCUGCUCCCCCCUUGGAUAGUGUGGCCAUACUGAGUAGAGGCUUCUGAGACAUAAGGCAUGGACUUGAAUUCUGGACCUCUUUUACUUUGCUGCGUGACCUUGGACAAUUUGUUCACCCUCUCUGAGUCUCAGAUUUUUUAUUUGUUAAACAGGCAUGAUGACUGUAGAGUCCAUGGUGAGCUUUGAAGAGGGAAUGUUGUGCUGGGCAAGAUGGUGUAAGCCUAUGAACCCAGCUCAUCAAGAGGCAGAAGCAAGAGGAUCACAAGUUCAAGGCCAGCCUGGGCAACUUAGUGAGACCGUGUCUCAAAAUAAAAUGAAAAGGGCUGGGGAUGUAGCUCAGUGAAGGAAAAGACUUGUAGCUAAUCAACAAGGAUCAGCCACAUGCCUGAGUAGAAUGGAAAGAGCUGGGCUGGGGAUAAAGAGACCUGGGCUCUGGAACUGACUUUGAAGUCACUUGGCUGAGUGUCCAUGGACAAUCCUUCACCCUCUCUGGGCCUAGAUUCCCAUUUAUAAAAUGAAGGACUGGGCCCAAUGGCCCAGGGGUCUUUCUGGCUGGGCCUUCUCUAAGUCUUGGCCAGGUCAGGCUCAGGAGCCAGACCCCUGUGACUGACUCCUCGGUGGGAAGCAGAGCACAGGUGACCAGAGUGUCCCAGGUGUGCCUUGAGUCAGUGGAGGUGGCUGAUCAGGUGCGUCCUGGCUUGGCCCCAACAAGCCACGGGGCUGAAGCUGAGGCUUCUGCAGGCAGAGGACGUGCCUGAGCACGUGGCUGAUCAGCAGCAGGAGCUGGCCGUGAAGCCCCACCUGGCCGGCUCCAAGGUCAGGGCUCACUCUGCUGCUCUCCCGGAGCUGCAGCCUCACUUGGCCCUCGUGCACCUGUCAUCUGACCUGUCCUCAGGCAGAAACCCGCCCAGAGAGAUGGAGGCUCCCCAGGAGCGCUGGGCUGGGAGGUGGAGGAGCCAAAGGGCAGGAGAAGCCAGGCUUCCCUGCUCCACCUGAGCUGCUUCUCCACCUGGAGGCCAACCCUGGCCUGGGCCCUGCCGCCCCACCAAGUCCCUAGCUCGUCUUCCUCCAGGCCAUCCUGCAUCCCGGACCCGAGUCUCCUGAAAGGGCUCUGACCACUGGCUCUUCUUUUCCUCUUUCAGCAAAUACGUACUGGGCAGCCUCUAGGGUGCCCUGCUCUGCUCCGUUCACAGGUACCAGGGAUACAGACACAAGUAGGGCAAAGUCCCACCCCAUGGGGGUUUGCAUUCUAGUGCUGAAUAGAUUACAAAUUGCUCUGAAGACAGAUGAAGCUGGAUCAGAGGAUGAUGCGAUCAGGUGUGAUUUGAGGCCAGGCAUAGUGUGUGUGUGUGUGUCUGUGUGUGUGUGUGUUCUGGGGAUUGAACCCAGAGCUAUAUUCCCAACCUUUUAAAAAAAAAAAAUCCUCCCUGGCCUUUAAAAAAAUUUGAGACAGUUUCACUAAAGUUGCCCAGGCUGGCCUUGAACUUGGGAUCCUCCUGCCUCAGCCUCCGGAGUCGCUGGGAUUAUAGGCGUGUACCAGCCCAGGUGCUGAUUUUGAGUUGGGUGCAAAGUAAACUGGAAGUUUGAUACACAGGGCAGCACAUUCCUCCAGGGAGGAUGCUCAGGGGCUGUUGAGAGUCCUCAGGGAAAGCAUCACAGAGAUGCUAACAUAGGCGCCAAGCUAGGUAGGAGAGUAUACCUGGCCACUGGGGUAACAGCCUGAGUAUAGGCAGAGGGGUGUGAUGUUCCUGGGGGCAGGAGCAGGGCAGCGUGAGUGGAGACGUACAGCUAACACUGCUGCCAGGUGGGAAAGGGUGAUGGAAUGUCAAACACAGAAGUUUGAACUUGAUCCCCAGGGUGAUAGGGAGCCCUGGAGGGUUGUUGAGCAGCGGAGUAACUCUUUAGCGCUCUCACCCUAUAGCAGUGCAAGGGUCUGGAAGGCCAAGGCGAGCGAGGGCAGGUGUGGGGCGGUCCUUGUGGGGAGGUCCACGCGUGCGGGCUGACCCUGGGCCCUCGGAGGUUGGAAUGUUCCAUGACUCAGCGCCGUCAUGGCUGUGAGCACCCAGAACUGGAUUCUGCAGGCUGGAGGCCUGAUGUGAAGGUGGAGGCAGAGGGGGAGAAGGGCAGCUCUCAGACCAGAGCCAGAGAGAACCAGGCGGGUCCAGGCCUCAGGCUGAGCAGAAAGGGACGUUAGGGAAUCAGCCUCCGAGACGGGUGUGCGGGGGCAGCCCGGUCUCUGACCAGGCCAAGCCUCCUCACUGAGCUGCACACGGUUCCUCUGCUACAGAGAAGCUGUUUCUUAAGCACCUACUGUAUACCAAGAGCUGGGCAACUUUCUGCAUCAGCACCCCAUGGGCAGCUACUCCUCAUCUACAGUUUCACAGGGAACUGAGGUUCAGAGACUUAGUGCCCUGCUGAGGGCUACACGUCGACCUUGAGGUGGAGCUGGGAUCAGUCCAGGUCUGUGUGGCUCGGCCACGUUCACGCCCCGCAGAGCGCGGUGUAGACAGGAGGGAGCAGGGGCCUCUGCCAGUGGCUCUCCUUCCUGAUCUCCGCCGCCUUGAGGGGUUCAGGAUUCGGGGCUGCAACGGCCGUAGUCCGGUGCCCACCAGCACUGAGGACUUCUGGGGACGGGGCCGCCACGGUUCAGGCCCCUGCGUUUCCAGAAUCCACGCUGGAGCCUAAUCCCCAACGCGGCACCCAGCCCAGGGCCGGGCACUGCAGAGCCGCUCGGCUCCCACGCGCUCCCAGAGUGACUGGGUGGCCUGUGGCUGUCUCCGUUGAUGGGUCUCACGCCAUUGAGGUGGCACAAAGUACCCCAACCGAAGACGCUCCGUUUCUGGGCCCCAAGCCAACCUGGGCCGGCAACAGCAGGCCAGGAGCCGGGCUCAGCUGAGCUGGCUUCUCGCCUUCCCAGACCAAAUCAGCCUUUCUCUCUGUCUCUCUGCCUUUAAGAUUCUGGAACACUCCUUCCUCCACCCCCGGCCUGCUCUCUCCCUUGGCAAAGCGGGGACUUGGCUGCAGAAGUCACUAGGGAGGCUCUGGCAGGCGGCUGGGCCUCCUCAGACUUUUUCUGUUUUUUUUUUUUUUUGGUACCAGGAGUUGAACUCAGGGGCACCCCACCCCUGAGCCACCUCCCCAGCCCUAUUUUGUAUUUUAUUUAGAGACAAAGUCUCACUGAGUUGCUUAGAGCCUCACAUUUGCUGAGGCUGGCUUUGAACUCACUAGCCUCCUGCCUCAGCCUCCAGAGCCUCUGGGAUGACAGGUGUGCGCCACCGAGGCCCAGCUGGCCCUUCUCCCUUGAAUCCAGAGCCUUUGGCUACUGCUGUGUCUCGGGUCCCCAGGGUACCGCCUGUCACAGAACAGGGCUCCGUGAGUGUCUGUUAAAACAAGGAGCAAGAGGUGGAUGAAGGGCUCCCGAGCCUCAGCCCUGCUGACCCUCUGCUGGUGAGGCCCUGGGUUGGGCCGUCUUGGCCCGGAUUCUCCCACCUUCGAAAUGAAGAGGUGAGGUUAGCCGCCCAGCCCACCCCAGCGACCACUGUGGCAAGCUGGACAGACGGUGGCCAUUCUCACAGUCCCAUGCGCAGAUUUAGUUUUUUUGUUUUGUUUUUGUUUUUUUGUAUGGGGGGAUGGAACCCAGGGGCACUUGGCCACUGAGCCGUGUCCCCAGCCCUGUUUUGUACUUUAUUUAGAGACAGGGCCUCACUGAGUGGCUUCAGGCCUCACUGAGUUGCUGAGGCUAGAUUUGGACUUCUGUCCUCCUGCCUCAGCCUCCCAAACUGCUGGCACUAUACAGGCGUGUAUUCAGAUUUUGAUGAAACUCAAUAAUUGUUGUGGGGGAAGCGCAGCCCUGAUUGGUGACUGUCACUGUCACUGACCUGGGGAAGAGCUGCUCGCUGAGGCUGUGGGUUGGGGCUCUGCAGUCUUUCAGCACAUGGGCAAGACCCCCUUUGUUCCCGUCCAGGAAGCAGCUUGCAGAGCAUCAUAGGAUGGAAUGACAUCCUACCCGAGAUCCACUUGGUCAUCUCUUUAUCUAGUUAACUAUUUAUGGAGCAUUAUCUAAGUGCCUGGCCCUGGGGACAGGAGCAAGAAGCCCUUCAGCACUUACCUUCCUGUGGGGGAGAGGGGGAUUCACACAUAAGGGUCCAUGUUAAACCCUCAUGAAAGUGCCUUAGAGGAGAUCAAGAGCCAGGGGGCAAGGGAAGGGGUUCCCUUAG